AUGGGAACGCGAAGAACCUUACCUACUCUUGACAUCCAGAGAACUUUCCAGAGAUGGAUUGGUGCCUUCGGGAACUCUGAGACAGGUGCUGCAUGGCUGUCGUCAGCUCGUGUUGUGAAAUGUUGGGUUAAAGUCCCGCAACGAGCGCAACCCGUUAUCCUUUGUUGCCAGCGGUUAGGCCGGGAACUCAAAGGAGACUGCCAGUGAUAAACUGGAGGAAGGUGGGGAUGACGUCAAGUCAUCAUGGCCCUUACGAGUAGGGCUACACACGUGCUACAAUGGCGCAUACAAAGAGAAGCGACCUCGCGAGAGCAAGCGGACCUCAUAAAGUGCGUCGUAGUCCGGAUUGGAGUCUGCAACUCGACUCCAUGAAGUCGGAAUCGCUAGUAAUCGUAGAUCGAGAAUGCUACGGUG
RNAcentral lists this ribosomal RNA (414 nucleotides) under uncultured bacterium. RNAcentral describes it as "bacterial SSU rRNA". It matches the Rfam family "Bacterial small subunit ribosomal RNA", at positions 954 to 1364 of the family's 1533-position model. The record is from RNAcentral.